Non-coding RNA from Pelobates cultripes (western spadefoot toad), 203 nucleotides. The record is from the annotation of a GenBank genome assembly. NCBI's taxonomy places the organism in Eukaryota, Metazoa, Chordata, Amphibia, Anura, Pelobatidae.
ACCAUAAUUAUCUAUAACAUGCUUUACAAAAUAGGAGACACUACAAGAGUGAAAUAGCCCUUUAAAAACCCUAGCACCAGAGUUGCACAACACAUUGCCAUGCCAAGGAAGUUGCUGUCUCCUUGAUCACUCUAGGGAGGUGCUUAAUAUAUCUUCCUAAAUUGGGUCAGCUGAGAAUCUAAAAAUGCAUAUAAAUUUAAAAG